RNAcentral lists this long non-coding RNA (1095 nucleotides) under Homo sapiens (human). RNAcentral's name for it is "HSALNT0348006". Lineage: Eukaryota; Metazoa; Chordata; Mammalia; Primates; Hominidae. The record is from RNAcentral.
AGACUGUGUCUAUUCUAGGAAGGCUGACACAUGAUGAGAAGAGUCAGUGGUCCUGAGGUACAGUACUUAAGAUAACCCUGUGAAGGCUGAGAUUGAUAUUUGAAAUUCACAACUGAUCUUGGAGCCUGGUACAGCAGUCAUGGAUUUGUUCAUGUGUGGAUGUGAUGGAACUGAAGUCGCUAGGUUCAUGCUACCUGGAACAUGAGACUGACAAAUAGAGGAGCACUGAGUCAAAUGAAUCUCGGAGAAAUGGAGCUGGAAGAAAACUGGAGUAAGCCUGUCCCUGAAAGGGCACUACAUUUGGAUAUCCAGCAGUGGGACUCAAUAUUUUUUCUUGUUGUUUAAUCUCAUUUCUGUUACUUGCAGCCAAAGGCUCUUAAUGAGAAAAUGGCUCUACCUAGUUUUCUGAAAUUGCCUCAGUCUCUCCACUCUUCCCUAUUACAAAGGUCAUCUCUUUAAUUCACAUCCAAUAACUGAUAGUCUCUUGACUAAUCUACAUCCUCUCAUUCUCUCCUAAUUCACCUUUCAUACUGUUGCCAGGUGACUUUUCCUAAAAGACAACUUUCAUGAUGUCACUCUACUUCAUAAAUUCUUAUAAUGGUUUCUUUUUGCUUUUAGUCCAAACUCCUCAGGUUCGUUUUCAAGGCUUUUCAUAAUUGAAUUUCUUUUAUAUACCUAAGAUGAUUUCUCUGUGUUCCCAAAUGUACAAUUGACAGUCCUUCCUCCUGAUGUUCUCUCCAGUAGGAAAUGUUUGCUCUAUGUAAAUUCAGUAUAGCUUUUAGUCUCUAUUCAAGUUCUACCUUCUUCAUAAACUUCUCCUGAAUAGAAUCAGCCUAUAACCAUUUAAACUGUCUUUAUUAGGUGCACACUAUGUGCCAGGUACUCAACAAGGCAGUGGAACUAUGAAGACAGAUAAUCACAGUCCCUCUUGCCUCUGGGAGCAGGCAGUUGAAUGCAAUGCUUUUUAAAGUUUUAAGUAACGUGGUCAUGCAAAAUCUUAUAGAUAUACAUUUGAAUGUACAGAGUUUAAUUACCAAGCUAGUGAGACUUAAUGUUUCAAUUAAUAAAAAGUUUGGAAUCAAGGUAUAUAGAUAA